This 301-nucleotide ribosomal RNA is filed under the name uncultured bacterium. RNAcentral describes it as "partial 16S ribosomal RNA". It matches the Rfam family "Bacterial small subunit ribosomal RNA", at positions 509 to 809 of the family's 1533-position model. The record is from RNAcentral.
CAGUCGCCGCGGUAAAACAGAGGGUGCAAGCGUUAAUCGGAAUUACUGGGCGUAAAGCGCGCGUAGGUGGUUUGUUAAGUUGGAUGUGAAAUCCCCGGGCUCAACCUGGGAACUGCAUCCAAAACUGGCAAGCUAGAGUAUGGUAGAGGGUGGUGGAAUUUCCUGUGUAGCGGUGAAAUGCGUAGAUAUAGGAAGGAACACCAGUGGCGCAGGCGACCACCUGGACUGAUACUGACACUGAGGUGCGAAAGCGUGGGGAGCAAACAGGAUUAGAUACCCCUGUAGUCCCUGUCUCUUAUAA